This 120-nucleotide ribosomal RNA is filed under the name Heteroteuthis dispar. RNAcentral's name for it is "5.8S ribosomal RNA". The record is from RNAcentral. Lineage: Eukaryota; Metazoa; Mollusca; Cephalopoda; Sepiida; Sepiolidae.
AGUGAUGGCCGCUUCUUCUUUGCCUUGUCGCCGCUUUAUCGUUUUUUGUUUUUUUGCAGCCGCUGUGCCACCGCCCGCCUAGCUUAAAAACAAACUACUCCGCCGACAUUGCAAUGCCGU